GCAUGUCUAGGAUUGGAUCCGAAGGGAGUUUGGUACUUAAGCAGUCCGAUGGACUCACCACCUCUUUUCCAGUUUCCUACCUGGUGCACAGCUUCCAUUCACUUUAACCUUUAAUGAAAUUAUCUUUUAAAACAUCAAGUACGAUUUUCUGGACUUAGAAUGGAAUUUUUUUUUACGUUUUUGAUGUGGCAUGCCGGCCAUAACGUCUAGGCCGGGUUUGGGGUGCUACAUUUUCUCCUAUGGAACUCUUUGUCCUUCAAACCCAAUUUCAUUUAAUUAUACACAUAUACU
This 291-nucleotide long non-coding RNA is filed under the name Gossypium barbadense (sea-island cotton). Its description in RNAcentral is "long non-coding RNA (GBAR_LNC023290)". The record is from RNAcentral. Lineage: Eukaryota; Viridiplantae; Streptophyta; Magnoliopsida; Malvales; Malvaceae.